UACCAUGCAGUCGAGCGCCCCUCCUUCAAGCAAGCUUGAAGGAUUUACUCCUUGGAAAAGAAGAUCAAGAGCGCUUCUAAGAAGCUUUCUUGAUGGAGGGGAGCGGCAGACGGGUGAGUAACGCGUGGGAAUCUACCCUUUUCUACGGAAUAACGCAGGGAAACUUGUGCUAAUACCGUAUGUGUCCUUCGGGAGAAAGAUUUAUCGGGAAAGGAUGAGCCCGCGUUGGAUUAGCUAGUUGGUGGGGUAAAGGCCUACCAAGGCGACGAUCCAUAGCUGGUCUGAGAGGAUGAUCAGCCACAUUGGGACUGAGACACGGCCCAAACUCCUACGGGAGGCAGCAGUGGGGAAUAUUGGACAAUGGGCGCAAGCCUGAUCCAGCCAUGCCGCGUGAGUGAUGAAGGCCCUAGGGUUGUAAAGCUCUUUCACCGGAGAAGAUAAUGACGGUAUCCGGAGAAGAAGCCCCGGCUAACUUCGUGCCAGCAGCCGCGGUAAUACGAAGGGGGCUAGCGUUGUUCGGAAUUACUGGGCGUAAAGCGCACGUAGGCGGAUCGAUCAGUCAGGGGUGAAAUCCCAGGGCUCAACCCUGGAACUGCCUUUGAUACUGUCGAUCUGGAGUAUGGAAGAGGUGAGUGGAAUUCCGAGUGUAGAGGUGAAAUUCGUAGAUAUUCGGAGGAACACCAGUGGCGAAGGCGGCUCACUGGUCCAUUACUGACGCUGAGGUGCGAAAGCGUGGGGGAGCAAACAGGAUUAGAUACCCUGGUAGUCCACGCCGUAACGAUGAAUGUUAGCCGUCAGGCAGUAUACUGUUCGGUGGCGCAGCUACGCAGUAAACAUUCCGCCUGGGGAGUACGGUCGCAGAUUAAAACUCAAUGAAUUGACUGGGGCCCGCACAGCGGUGGAGCAUGCUGGAUUUAAAU
RNAcentral lists this ribosomal RNA (920 nucleotides) under Martinezella tropici. Its description in RNAcentral is "bacterial SSU rRNA". It matches the Rfam family "Bacterial small subunit ribosomal RNA", at positions 52 to 951 of the family's 1533-position model. Lineage: Bacteria; Pseudomonadati; Pseudomonadota; Alphaproteobacteria; Hyphomicrobiales; Rhizobiaceae. The record is from RNAcentral.